RNAcentral lists this transfer RNA (81 nucleotides) under Triticum aestivum (bread wheat). It matches the Rfam family "tRNA". From Rfam's summary of the family: Transfer RNA (tRNA) molecules are approximately 80 nucleotides in length. Their secondary structure includes four short double-helical elements and three loops (D, anti-codon, and T loops). The record is from Rfam by way of RNAcentral. Lineage: Eukaryota; Viridiplantae; Streptophyta; Magnoliopsida; Poales; Poaceae. RNAcentral also lists the same sequence under 1 other name.
GAUCAGAUGGCCUAGUUGGUCUAAGGCGCCAGAUUAAGGCUCUGGUCCGAAAGGGCCUGGGGUCAAAUCCCACUCUGGUUA